Molecule: long non-coding RNA, 984 nt
Organism: Columba livia (rock pigeon)
Lineage: Eukaryota; Metazoa; Chordata; Aves; Columbiformes; Columbidae
Exons: 2
Source: RefSeq, a predicted model, not a curated record
GAGGUUUUCAUGCUGCUUCCAAACCAAGACCUUGUUCCAGCCCAUCAUUCUAAUCUGCAUUUUGAAGCCCCACUUAAACCGUUUCCGAUCCUUCCCAUAUGGAACAAGCAGCACAGCUCGAUACUUAGAGCAGCUGAAUUUUCCAUACAGAGAGAUGUGAUCAUUUUGUGAAGAAAGGAAGUCAUCUGAAAUAAAUGUCAAUGGGAGCACGUUGCUGCUAAAUGUGAGCAGCAAAAGCCAUAAUCACCCAAGCCCCAUGAGAGUACGUGUCAUCUCUUCCUUGUUCACCUGCCAGGGACAUGGAAAACGAGCAGCAAUGCAGGGAGGCAGCACGGACUGUCGGAUUUGAAAUCACAGCCGGGGCUUUGAGAGCCAAAUCUCUGAAACUGCAAACUCCAGCUGUGCAUGUGAAAUCUGCAAACAGGAAUCACCCUGGCUAAACCCCCCUGUUCCUUCCAGGAACACGACUGUGCAAUCAGAGCCCUGGGGACUUCUGCAGUAUCUUCCAUCCCUUUGCAGUCUCCUGGACAUUUGGACAAGCUGGCUUUGCACAGAGAAGGAGAAAGGCUUAUCCUACUGAAAACCAGCUGGGAUAAACACAGCUCAAAACUACCAUGAGAUGCAGCAGUGGAAAAGGCUUUUCUGUCCCAGAAGAGUUUUCCUUUCCAUCCUCUUCUCACCAGCCAGAAGAUUUUUUCUGGGAAUUACCUUCCUGAUACUGCCAUUCCCCUUUUGCCACACUGAAAGAGGUAUUUCCCCACAACACACACCUGCUGUUUUGCAGUUUCUCUGGCUGCAAAAGGAGCAUUUUCAAGCUGUCUACCACAGUCAGGACUGACAUACUCUUGUCUGGAAAUUGCUGGACCAGAAAUUGGAAAAGGAGCAGCAAUGCUGAUGAGAAAGCAGAUUGUCAUUAUGGAUCAAAAUCUUCUCAUCAAGGACAUAAGCAAUAAAAUGCACAUGGUUUAAUGGCUCUGAGAUUUA